AAUGUUUGGGAAUUGGAGAGUAGGAAAGCUUAGCCAUCUAUUCCCUUCAUGGUUUCCUCUCCAUGGAUUGGGGGUCUAGAGCUAGUCUUUCCUACUCCUCCCAUUCCUAUUGUUUUC
Molecule: non-coding RNA, 117 nt
Organism: Vitis vinifera (wine grape)
Lineage: Eukaryota; Viridiplantae; Streptophyta; Magnoliopsida; Vitales; Vitaceae
Source: RefSeq, marked provisional